This is a long non-coding RNA of Crotalus tigris (Tiger rattlesnake), 1834 nucleotides long. RefSeq lists it as uncharacterized. The record is from RefSeq and is a predicted model, not a curated record. The transcript is spliced from 4 exons. Lineage: Eukaryota; Metazoa; Chordata; Lepidosauria; Squamata; Viperidae.
AAUAUACGAAAUAAAUAAUAUAAACAAUUCUUAUUGACAGUCUUAAAGUUUUAUAAUUAUAAAAAUGCAAUUUAUAUUGGGCAUGGGAUUAAUGUACAAUGCCCAUGGAACCAACUUGCAGACAUCGUUCUUUGGCCAACUAUCCCCUUUGGUUCAUCUUAGUUUUAUUUUAUUUUCUAAGUUUUUUUUUUUAAUUAAGAAAAAGGAUAGGAAAAAGGAUAUUUUCUUGACAACAAAGUGCCCUCCAGUAAUCUUUCCAAAUCUUCCUAAUUUAAAUUCCAAGGAUUUUUUGGUGGUAGUGUGAUAGAUCAGGAAAGAUUUCCUCUAAUUUUAUAAGACCAAUAUUGUAAAGUUAGGGCAGUAUGAGUUUUCAAACCGUACAUAAGGGGUUGGUUGGAGCCCAGUAUUUUAUUUGAAAGUCUUUUCAUUUACCCAGAAAAUAAAGGAUAACGCUUGAGCUGUUAGCUAGAUGGCUGAACGUUUUGCAAAUAUCCAUAACAGCUAUUUUGUAGAUAGACAAACUUUUUAUCCUUUUUGCAAAAUCACUUUGUGACAAGUUUUUGAAAUUUUGAUUAUGCCCAGAAAGCUGCCAAUUUAUCUACCCAUCCAUAUUACUAUUAAAACCUCAGCAAUUCAGAUCCUGAAUACUUGAAAUGUAAGAUGGUGCCCUCACUUUGUAGAUAGCAAUGUUGAGUUACUAUGGAAGGCUGUGGAACAGCAUAUCCCAAGAAUUGCUGGUGCAUGCUGGACUUGACAGUGUGAUAUUUUGCUGGGAUUUUCAGCACAGCAGUUUGCUAUAUUGUAAACUGCCCACAAAGGAAAGUAAUGAUGAUAGUGGCAAUGGGGAAUGUGUUAUGUCAGCUUUAGAAGGCAGUAGCUGACAGACUUGAACUGUAUCUAUCACUCCCCCAGGAUUCCUGUUUUGCAGUCUUAUGUCAACCACUCUCACAAGAACAUUGCUGAUGACUGAUUUUAACCCACUGGGAGGAUGGAAUGGGGAUCUCCACUGCUAUAAAGUCUUCACUGGCAAAACUCCUUUCUAUGAAAAUAUCUGUUUGGUGUCAAUAUCUUUAAAGUUACCUUUGGGGGGGCUUCAAAGGAAAGCAGAGAUGAUGAUGAUGAUGAAAAACCCCUCUAAUCAAACCAUCCAUCAAGCAAUAUCAGAUGAUUAGGGGCACUUGACAAAACACAAGUGUGUGUAAGUUUGCAUGUGUUAAGCCAAUUCUCAAUGACAACUAGGGUUGGUACACAAAGAAGCAAUAACCACCAGGAAUCUUCAUCACAACCUUUGGAUUUUUGAGUCAUUCCUUGCAAAGGUAACUCCUGAAUUAAUUGGCUAUUCUUGCAGUAACAAGAACACCCCCUCCCACAGUUCAACAGCUGCCAUCCUGGGGCAUGAUUAAGAACAACCUCUUUCUCUGUUUUCCAGUCAUCAGAAAAGACACCAAAUUCAAUCCUGGACUGUGGCCUAUGAAGAAGUUCAAUUGGAUUUUUUGAAGUUUAACUUGAAAAUAGUCCAUUAUUCUUUCAUCCCAAGAAAUGAUAGCUCUAAACCAGCGGUCCCCAACUUUUCUGGCUCUGUGGACUGGCAGCAUUAGGAUCAUUUUGCUGAGUUUUUGGGGGGUUUGAUGUCAGUGUAUCUUGAAGCAGGUUUUGUUAUACUUGUUGCAUGUAUCUGGAUGUAUAUUUCUGCUUGGAGAAUUCUUGGUAUUUCUCUUUUUCUCAAUGUCUUAAACUCUCAUUAGUUUCUUAAUCUGAAUAACAAUAAAAAACUGUUCAAAUCAGCAUCUUCAUUCUGUAUGGGACUUUAGUUUUUCACACAUAUUGUUAAUAG